GCCUGGGUAGCUCAGUGGUUGAGUGUCUGCCUUUGGCUCAGGUUGUGAUCCCGGAAUCCUGGGAUCGAGUCCCACAUCAGGCU
Molecule: non-coding RNA, 83 nt
Organism: Canis lupus familiaris (dog)
Lineage: Eukaryota; Metazoa; Chordata; Mammalia; Carnivora; Canidae
Source: Rfam